Molecule: ribosomal RNA, 468 nt
Filed under: uncultured bacterium
Lineage: Bacteria
Description: partial 16S ribosomal RNA
Rfam family: Bacterial small subunit ribosomal RNA
Source: RNAcentral
GACGAACGCUGGCGGCGUGCUUAACACAUGCAAGUCGAACGGAAAGGCCCUGCUUUUGUGGGGUGCUCGAGUGGCGAACGGGUGAGUAACACGUGAGUAACCUACCCUUGACUUUGGGAUAACUUCAGGAAACUGGGGCUAAUACCGGAUAGGAGCUCCUGCUGCAUGGUGGGGGUUGGAAAGUUUCGGCGGUUGGGGAUGGACUCGCGGCUUAUCAGCUUGUUGGUGGGGUAGUGGCUUACCAAGGCUUUGACGGGUAGCCGGCCUGAGAGGAUGACCGGCCACAUUGGGACUGAGAUACGGCCCAGACUCCUACGGGAGGCAGCAGUGGGGAAUAUUGCACAAUGGGCGGAAGCCUGAUGCAGCAACGCCGCGUGCGGGAUGACGGCCUUCGGGUUGUAAACCGCUUUCGCCUGUGACGAAGCGUGAGUGACGGUAAUGGGUAAAGAAGCACCGGCUAACUACGUG